GACGAACGCUGGCGGCGUGCCUAAUACAUGCAAGUUGAGCGCUGAAGGUUGGUACUUGUACCAACUGGAUGAGCAGCGAACGGGUGAGUAACGCGUGGGGAAUCUGCCUUUGAGCGGGGGACAACAUUUGGAAACGAAUGCUAAUACCGCAUAAAAACUUUAAACACAAGUUUUAAGUUUGAAAGAUGCAAUUGCAUCACUCAAAGAUGAUCCCGCGUUGUAUUAGCUAGUUGGUGAGGUAAAGGCUCACCAAGGCGAUGAUACAUAGCCGACCUGAGAGGGUGAUCGGCCACAUUGGGAAUGAGACAAGGCCCAAACGCCUACGGGAGGCAGCAGUAGGGAAUCUUCGGCAAUGGACGAAAGUCUGACCGAGCAACGCCGCGUGAGUGAAGAAGGUUUUCGGAUCGUAAAACUCUGUUGGUAGAGAAGAACGUUGGUGAGAGUGGAAAGCUCAUCAAGUGACGGUAACUACCCAGAAAGGGACGGCUAACUACGUG
Molecule: ribosomal RNA, 497 nt
Filed under: uncultured bacterium
Lineage: Bacteria
Description: partial 16S ribosomal RNA
Rfam family: Bacterial small subunit ribosomal RNA
Source: RNAcentral